This is a long non-coding RNA of Etheostoma spectabile (orangethroat darter), 121 nucleotides long. RefSeq lists it as uncharacterized. The transcript is spliced from 3 exons. NCBI's taxonomy places the organism in Eukaryota, Metazoa, Chordata, Actinopteri, Perciformes, Percidae. The record is from RefSeq and is a predicted model, not a curated record.
GAACAUUUUGGAGACAAUGAGAAUUGGUGACGCAGAUGGUGAGGUGGUGAACUGAAGUCAGACAGAAGAAAGUAAAUGUGGGAAUAACGAUUACUUGUAAUAUAAGACUGUCAGCUUUAAC